CGUAGGUGGCAAGCGUUGUCCGGAUUUAUUGGGUUUAAAGGGUGCGUAGCGGCUUUGUAAGUCAGUGGUGAAAUACUCCAGCUCAACUGGAGAGGUGCCAUUGAUACUGCAGAGCUAGAGUACUGAUGAGGUAGGCGGAAUGGACGGUGUAGCGGUGAAAUGCUUAGAUAUCGUCCAGAACACCGAUAGCGAAGGCAGCUUACUAAAGAGUAACUGACGCUGAGGCACGAAAGUGUGGGGAUCAAACAGGAUUAGAUACCCUGGUAGUCCACACUGUAAACGUUGAUCACUAGAUGUUGGCGAUACACUGCCAGCGUUCCAGCAAAAGCGAUAAGUGAUCCACCUGGGGAGUACGCCCGCAAGGGUG
RNAcentral lists this ribosomal RNA (367 nucleotides) under uncultured organism. Its description in RNAcentral is "bacterial SSU rRNA". It matches the Rfam family "Bacterial small subunit ribosomal RNA", at positions 526 to 896 of the family's 1533-position model. The record is from RNAcentral.